This is a non-coding RNA of Pelobates cultripes (western spadefoot toad), 223 nucleotides long. The record is from the annotation of a GenBank genome assembly. Lineage: Eukaryota; Metazoa; Chordata; Amphibia; Anura; Pelobatidae.
CUACUAAAUAGUGUGCCUUCCAAACACCCCAGAAAUAGUGAAUAAGUAGGAAUUGCAAUCUAUAGGAAUGACAUCUCCCAAGAGCAAAUCAUAAGAGAAUAGAGAUGAUAAUAAUAAUACAACCUUGGUAUAAGCAUAGAAAUCUUGAUAUCUGGUGGAAACACAAACUAGACAUGGCGUAAUAAAGUACAAUGGGAAAAGACACGAGUGGUGAAGUUUUUCC